This 73-nucleotide transfer RNA is filed under the name Stegodyphus mimosarum. It matches the Rfam family "tRNA". Rfam says of the family: Transfer RNA (tRNA) molecules are approximately 80 nucleotides in length. Their secondary structure includes four short double-helical elements and three loops (D, anti-codon, and T loops). The record is from Rfam by way of RNAcentral. Lineage: Eukaryota; Metazoa; Arthropoda; Arachnida; Araneae; Eresidae.
CCCUUCGUGGUGUAGUGGUCAGCACGCUCGACGCGUAACCGAGAGGUACGUGGUUCGAAUCCCGGCGAGAGCA